RNAcentral lists this long non-coding RNA (1834 nucleotides) under Sorghum bicolor (sorghum). RNAcentral's name for it is "long non-coding RNA (SBIC_LNC007998)". The record is from RNAcentral. Lineage: Eukaryota; Viridiplantae; Streptophyta; Magnoliopsida; Poales; Poaceae.
UCCCCUGAUUCCUUGCGUGAUAUUCUGUAGAUGUCGUCUCUCAUAGUUUCUUAUUACUGGUUCAUGUUAAUUCCAGGUCUCAUGGAGUUGAUAUGUCGAUGUGCCUAAAGUUUUGACCAAUUGUAGGAACCGAUCUUUCUCCAUUAGAGUACACGAUCUCUUGUGCUAGGUGCUAUGCACAUCUGAUUUGUGCUAGUCCAUCAAAACGUGCUCCUGCACAGGCAAGUAAUCCUAAGCGACAAGGAUAAAUGUGAUACCCAUAGCUAACCAGAAUUGCAUAUCUUUUUUUUACAUUUGUUCUUAUUUUAAUACUUUCUCAUCUUUGUCUGGUUGUAAUAGAGUUUAGCACCAACUAAAUAUAUGCUUUCCUAUGCCCAUUCAUAGUUUUUCACUUUUCUAUCACACAUCGAUGCGUGUGUGACAUAUGUUUAGUUCAGACUUACGUUACAUCCAUUGCUUCAUACAUACAAGUAUACAUGGUGUAACAAAGAUCAUAAAUCUAUGUGUUGAGUUGGGCCUUGUUUAGAUGCGAAAACUUUUUGGAUUUCACUACUGUAGCACUUUUGUUUGUUUGUUUGUGACAAAUAUUGUCCAAUCAUAGACUAACUAGGGUUAAAAGAUUCGUCUCGCGAUUUACAGUCAAACUGUGUAAUUAGUUUUUGUUUUUGUCUAUAUUUAAUACUUUAUGCAUGUGUUGCAAGAUUCGAUGUGACGGAGAAUCUUGAAAACAUUUUGGUUUUUGGGGUGAACUAAACAAGGCCUUAGUUUUUUCCCCCUAUAUUAAUAAUGGCUGAAGAUGGCAAGUAGGAAAAACAAUUACUUGGGGACAUUAUCUUUAAAAUGACGAGGCAGGCAUUUAGAUCCAUAUGUCUUCCUUUAUUUAAUUUAUUUUUACUAAUGGUGGAAGCCAGUGACUUGUAUGAGAAUUUAGAAGACUACUAUAGAUUAUUUUUCAUAAUUUUAUAAUGUUAGGAACAUUAGGGGCACCAUAUAUUGACCAAUGCCCAUGACAAAAAUCUGAAUUUUAAAGUGCACCAUAUAUGAAAUCAUAUGUGGCACAGAGGCUGUUUGGACCUAGAAGUCUUGGGUUUCUUUAGUAAACUUUAAUUUUCCAAGGACAAGGCUAUCUAAAAAUUCCCAUCUCACUGGCCCAGUAAACUGCAAGCAAUGUUUCUCAGAGAAGCAACACGCAAGGUUACAAGUUAAGCAUCAACAAGUAAACUAGAUCUAGAAUAAAUAACAGACCCUCUUGUCUACGAAGCACGAAACAGAGGAACAACUUCCAAUCCGCAAAUCCCAUCUCCUGUACCCUCCCCUGCUUGCUUUGUAAAAGGGAAAAAAAGAGCAAGAAUUUAGUAUACCUUGGGCCAGAAGGACGUACUGGGGCAACAGGAAGAUGCGAUGCGACGCGACGUGCAGGUGUGGACGCCCUUCCGCCUCUUGAAGCUCAAUCUGCUAGUCUGCUACCGGAUUCCGUGGACAGGGGCUGCAGUGUCAUGGCUUAGUUGUGCUCGGCGGCUGUGGGGAUUCCGUGGAGUAGCGAGAGCGGAAUCUGGGGAGGGUGUUGAGCACCGUUGGCGGACGCUGGGACUGGGAAUUGGGGAACGCCGGCCGGCGGCGGGGCCCUGUAUUGCCUGGCCUGCGCAGCAACUCCAGCAACGCUGAAAGCGCACGAGCUAACCAAUUUCUCAAAGCAAACAACAGCCCGUUGAGGCUCGUGGUGAUGGUACUCGAGUUUAACUCUAGACAACUAUGAGGAAGAUGGUUUUUCAUGUAUGCCAUUAACCAAGAUGGUCCCUUACUCCAUACCAUUAAAAAGUUAGAACCGGCCAAA